This is a non-coding RNA of Pelobates cultripes (western spadefoot toad), 106 nucleotides long. NCBI's taxonomy places the organism in Eukaryota, Metazoa, Chordata, Amphibia, Anura, Pelobatidae. The record is from the annotation of a GenBank genome assembly.
GUAUGAGUCACUGAGUGUGUCAGUGAGUGUGUAUGGGUCACUGUGUAUGUCAGUGUGUUUGUAUGACAAUGACCCAUACAAACACACUGACACACACAGUGACCCA